Molecule: ribosomal RNA, 372 nt
Filed under: uncultured organism
Description: bacterial SSU rRNA
Rfam family: Bacterial small subunit ribosomal RNA
Source: RNAcentral
CAGAGGGUGCAAACGUUGUUCGGAAUUACUGGGCGUAAAGCGCGUGUAGGCGGCAGCGUGUGUCGGGCGUGAAAUCCCACGGCUCAACCGUGGAAGUGCACCCGAAACUGCGCAGCUAGAGUCCUGGAGAGGAAGGUGGAAUACUUGGUGUAGAGGUGGAAUUCGUAGAUAUCAAGUGGAACACCGGUGGCGAAGGCGGCCUUCUGGACAGUGACUGACGCUGAGACGCGAAAGCGUGGGGAGCAAACAGGAUUAGAUACCCUGGUAGUCCACGCCGUAAACGAUGAGUGCUAGGUGUCACGGGCUUUGACCCUCGUGGUGCCGAAGCUAACGCGUUAAGCACUCCGCCUGGGGAGUACGGCCGCAAGGCUA